Molecule: unclassified non-coding RNA, 211 nt
Organism: Cavia porcellus (domestic guinea pig)
Lineage: Eukaryota; Metazoa; Chordata; Mammalia; Rodentia; Caviidae
Source: Ensembl
GAGCUGUCUGUCUUUUCCAUCUGGGCUACACAGUGAGCUGAGAAGGUCAAGUGUACUAUCUAUGGGCAGCACACAUGCUGGGACUUGGAGGCCAGUUUACGUGUAGAAACCAGUUAUUGUCACAAACACUCUGAGCAUGUCAUGCUGAGGGCAAAGCAGCAAGCGUCCAGUUGGAGGUCUCCUGCUAGAAUGUUUGUUGCUUAGCACAGAU